Molecule: ribosomal RNA, 539 nt
Filed under: uncultured bacterium
Lineage: Bacteria
Description: bacterial SSU rRNA
Rfam family: Bacterial small subunit ribosomal RNA
Source: RNAcentral
AAUAGAUACCCCGGUAGUCCACGCCGUAAACGAUGAGUGCUAAGUGGUUAGAGGGGUUUUCCGGCCCUUUAGUGCUGCAGCAAACGCAUUAAGCACUCCGCCUGGGGAGUACGGUCGCAAGACUGAAACUCAAAGGAAUUGACGGGGGGCCCGCACAAGCGGUGGAGCAUGUGGUUUAAUUCGAAGCAACGCGAAGAACCUUACCAGGUCUUGACAUCCUUCGCUACUUCUAGAGAUAGAAGGUUCCCCUUCGGGGGACGGAGUGACAGGUGGUGCAUGGUUGUCGUCAGCUCGUGUCGUGAGAUGUUGGGUUAAGUCCCGCAACGAGCGCAACCCUUGACCUUAGUUGCCAGCAUUCAGUUGGGCACUCUAAGGUGACUGCCGGUGACAAACCGGAGGAAGGUGGGGAUGACGUCAAAUCAUCAUGCCCCUUAUGACCUGGGCUACACACGUGCUACAAUGGAUGGUACAAAGGGCUGCAAGACUGCGAAGUCAAGCCAAUCCCAUAAAACCAUUACUCAGUUCGGAUUGCAGGCUGA